GACGAACGCUGGCGGCGUGCUUAACACAUGCAAGUCGAACGGAAAGGCCCUGCUUUUGUGGGGUGCUCGAGUGGCGAACGGGUGAGUAACACGUGAGUAACCUGCCCUUGACUUUGGGAUAACUUCAGGAAACUGGGGCUAAUACCGGAUAGGAGCUCCUGCUGCAUGGUGGGGGUUGGAAAGUUUCGGCGGUUGGGGAUGGACUCGCGGCUUAUCAGCUUGUUGGUGGGGUAGUGGCUUACCAAGGCUUUGACGGGUAGCCGGCCUGGGAGGGUGACCGGCCAAAUGGGGACAGAGAUCCGGCCCAGGCCCCCAGGGGAGGCAGCAGGGGGGAAUAUUGAACAAGGGAGGGAAGCCGAAUGAAGCAACGCCGGGGGCGGGAAGAGGGCCUUGGGGUGGGAAACAGCUUUCGCCUGUGACAAAGCGUGAGGGCAGGAAAUGGUGAAAGAAGCACCGGAUAAAAAGGG
This 467-nucleotide ribosomal RNA is filed under the name uncultured bacterium. RNAcentral describes it as "partial 16S ribosomal RNA". It matches the Rfam family "Bacterial small subunit ribosomal RNA", at positions 28 to 506 of the family's 1533-position model. The record is from RNAcentral.